This 1280-nucleotide long non-coding RNA is filed under the name Aquilegia coerulea. RNAcentral describes it as "long non-coding RNA (ACOE_LNC002127)". The record is from RNAcentral. Lineage: Eukaryota; Viridiplantae; Streptophyta; Magnoliopsida; Ranunculales; Ranunculaceae.
CUGGGAGUGCUGUGUAUGGACAUGGUAGACACAACAUCGUUUUGUGGAGUCAAUUCUGCUUUUGUAUCUUCGAUGCUCGUCAAGGACAGUGGCUCCAAAAGGUUGGUGAUGCUCCUCUCACACGUGGUCCUAAUGGUGGAAAAUGUAUUUAUAGCCCUAAAGUUGUUGUUUACCAUGAUGACUGCACUCUACAACUGUUUUUUGGGGAAAACCCAGUUGUGUUUUAUUUGGUAUGACAACUAUGAAUGGGAGCACCGAGAACUUGGAGAUGGUUAGGGAAGCUUUACAAUCCACAAUAUAAAGUUUGAAAUUAGCAAAUCACCAUCUGGGGAAGUUGUUUUGAAGCCUCUUCAAGGGAUUCCCUUGAGUAAACGCGUGGAGGGGGGAGGGAUUAUGUUCGCAGGAGUGUAAGUAUCUCUUUAUUUAUUAAAUUGUUAAAUAAAUUUGUUAUUAGAAAGAUGUGGUUGCCCAAUUUACCAGAAUCUGAUACUCAAACGGUUAUGAUGACUCUGGAUCUAAUAGGUUAGGAACCAGUGCAAUAGGAAUAUCAACUGGAACUGAAUGGUUACUGUUGGUUCCGCUUAUUGCUUGAUUGAGUUUCUAUACUUGGUGAUUUAUGACUCUUAGACCUGACUCUGCAUUGGAACCAAAUUAGUGGUUUGGUCACAAGUCUUCCUGCUAUAGGUACUAAAAUCACUAUGAACUAGAACAUGUCCUGACAAUAAUUAAUCAAAUGACAGAACUGCUUGGAAUUGGGCCAGAUUCAACCCAUUGACACCUUUAUAUACAACAUGUUAGUGCAAGGCAAUGGGCAUGCAGAAGUGAUCUACAUGGAUGGACAAUUUGAACUUGUGCAACACAUGCUUCCCAACUCCUCAUUAUUAAUAUAUAUAUACGUUCAGAGUAUCUUCUAAAUUCUAAUGUUCAGUCUACUAUGAUUAUAAGUUAUUUUCAACCAACUGUUCUAGUUUCGAAUUACGAUGAGAAAGAAACGAAGGUCAAUCUGUGUUAAGUUCUUUACAAACCUUGUUCGCCACAAUGUGGCAUUUUAGGGCAUUGAUUGUAUGUGGCUUGAGCUGUGCAUCUCACGUAAUUAGUAUAAUUCUGGUGUAAAGUGCUGAUGCACACUGUUUGUUUUUUUGUUUGUUUUGUCUGGUGCUUCCAUUGAAAAACUAUUACUAGUAUUUGGAGCAUAUCACUUAAGCUUCAUCUUCUUUCAGGCAAUGGCAAGAUGAUGAUGAGAGAAAAUUUGAUUUUGAUGGGAGCGGUCCCCAAACUUC